UCUCUCUCUUUCUCUCUCUCUCUCUCUUUCUCUCUGGAUAUGUACCUUAGGAGGCCUGAGUUAACAUGUAAGAUGUCUAACUAUCCCGAAGCCACUAUGCUGGAAGGAUCACAUGGAGAGACCACAUAGAGAUACAAAGAUGCCUGAGGAAACCCAGCUGUUCAGCACAGAUGUUUUUUAGUUUUCCCGUUGCCCAGGCAUGCGAGUGAGUGAGCUUUCCAAAGACUUUAACCCCAGCCUUUGAGCUGCCAGAGCUGACAUGAAGUAGAACAGAGAUGAGCUGAGCUUUGCCCCACCUGCAGAUGUAACUUCCCACAUACACCCCUUUUGGCUGAGCUGUAUGGCCAUAAGCGUAGAGACUUGCAGCUGUAUGUGGCCGUGAAUGAGAGACCCAGAGAUGGAAGCUUCACAGCAUUUGUGGCAGUAGCGGCAGAAAUGCAUCACACAUUUGAGUCCCUAGAUGGCCUUGUGGAGAAACGUCUACCUGCCACCCUGGACUAUUAGACAUGAAAAAGAUGCAGGCAAGAUAUGGAGUGUCUUCAUGGGGGAGAUUCAGAAGCCAUGGAUGGUGUAGAAAGAAAUAUUCUUCAAACAAAACCUUAUGAGGAACAGAACCAUAGCUCCUGAAACUGUGUGAAAGCAAGAGAAAGAGAGUCUUUUGUCAAUAGUCUGUCCACACAUAUCCAGACCCAACCCAAAGUUACAACCUGACCUCCACGAUCACUUUCCCUCACAGGGACCGCACUAUGAGGAACACGCCAAAGUUGAGAAAGGGUAAGAUUCUUGCCCAACCUCAAGACCAGUGCUAUUCUCUUCACGCCAAGGCAGGAAGAUCACUGAAGCCCAGAAGUUCGAGGCUAAAAUGAGCUAUGAUUGUGCCAACGCACUUCAUCCUAGGCAACAUAGCAAAACCCUAUCUCUAAAAUAUAAACAAGUAAAAUAAAUUUAAAAAUAAUUGUGGCGUGUGGCAAUUAUUGAUAAUGCCUCAUAGCCCCAAAUUCAUCCCUGGUUGCCUUCCCUGUGAAAAUAAAUCUAGGCCCUUCACCUUUAUUUUUUUCUUUUUUGGCUAUCAUGAUGCUAAACUUAUCAGUAGAGGGCAAUACAAAGACAUUUCAAGAAGGCAGAGGCUUCCCUCCUGGUAGUGCACUUUUUCCCCACUGUCUAUUCCACGUGGUUUUCACCAUUGUCAAGGGCUUAGAGGGUACAGCUUUCACAGUGUGUUUUCUACAGUUCUUGACUCAGGAAACAAUGGCAUAGUGGAAGCCCCAGAAAAAUCUGACCUGUGCGCUAGCCCUGUUAACUGCUGCCCACAACCCUGAGUGAUAUGAAUGUAAGGGGUACUGUGGAGCUGAUAAUCAGCAAGCUUGUGGCAUGACCUCCAUCCUGUGUAGCCCAGAGCCACCCUACCCAAGCCACAAAUAGAAAAGCUCUGGGUUUUGAUGCUGACUCUCUAUGGUCCCACUUCUUAGCCUAAGAUCACCUGUGCCCUAGAGAGUUGUACCUACUUCGCCUGGUGACUGUGGACCAGCUCUGCAGGAAGCAAUUUACCAAAUGUCUCUGCGAUCCAGUGGUCAGCAAUUACACCUUCUUCAGUGUGGUCAUAGCCUCUUUCCAAAUUUGUCCUUCCUUAACUACUCUCCCUGUUUUCAUGUUUAUAGUUGUUCUCUUAUCAUUGUUUAAUAAUUUUUAUGUUAAAUUUCCCAUGUUUAAAUUACUAAGUCGAUAUUGUCUCUUGAUUGUACCCAGGCCAAUAAAUGGUACUAUAAAUAUUGUGUUUAUAUUUCAAUAUACAUUGUUUUAAGGUGACUCCCAUGGAGUUUAUAAGCAAGAUAAUGCUUGAGCAAAAUCUAGUACAUUGCAAUAACCUAGGUGACCACAUCAUUUCUCGUGCAAUAAUCAUUUUUAUGUCUCAUAAGAUAUAUGAAUAUAUUAUAAAUUAGAAACAGGAAUAAUUAAACAGAAAACAAUAGCAUAUGACAUGGCAAAGGCAAUAAAAUAAAUAUAUAGGCAAUAUAGGAGCAACUAUGAAAGACUAGGACUUGCAAUAUCAUAUAAAGGAAUUUAAGAACCGAAAUUGAGUAGUCAUUCUUGUUAACAGUGUAUUCAUUUUGUUUUCAUAAUCUUAUUAUCAUGCUGUAACUGUGCUAUAAAAGAGAUAUUGACAAAGACAUGCUUCAGUUAAGGCAGUUUACAUAUGAGCAAAAAAUUUUGGAAACAUUGGAAUUGUUAGUAUAA
Molecule: long non-coding RNA, 2235 nt
Filed under: Homo sapiens (human)
Lineage: Eukaryota; Metazoa; Chordata; Mammalia; Primates; Hominidae
Description: HSALNT0111742
Source: RNAcentral